This 599-nucleotide long non-coding RNA is filed under the name Marmota monax (woodchuck). Lineage: Eukaryota; Metazoa; Chordata; Mammalia; Rodentia; Sciuridae. The record is from RNAcentral.
GCUAGCUUGGUGGGAAGGUUUCUGCCGUGGGCCUGGCUCCUCCAGUUGGGGCUGGGGGAGCAGCCGCCUCGGGGAGCCGCCCUUUCCCAUAUGAAGCCGAAGCCUGGGCACUGGUUUUAGUGGUAGAGGCUCAUUCACCUGCCUGCUGGUCGGCACCCAAGAGUUGCACCUUGUUGCCCAGGUAGAAUGGAAAAGCUCCGGCAGCCCAACACUGCCAGUCUCUGGGUGGGACCUGGGACUGCACCGCACAAUGAACCCCACACCACGAAGCCUGCAUCACCAACCCCACAAAUGAGCCCUGGGCCUCAAUCUCAAGACAGCUGAGAAGGUGCUCGAAUGUUAAGGCGGCAGAAUGUUAAGGCACUGCUGUUUGGACAGUUGGAAGAAAAACCCUAGAAAGAAAAUUUCCAACUGUAACUAGUUUGUUGGAUGAAAAAGAGGGGGGCUUAUGCACCCUCUAAUGUGGGGUACCUAUUAGGGAAGCUGCCCUCAUGGUUAUUCAGGGUUUGGCUGCUUGGCCUAUAUUUUCUGGUGUUUUCUAUCAACGACUGCAUCUUUGUGACCAGGCGUCUUUGAGGUAUUGUUUCCCUGCACUAAAG